UGGGUUGCCUGGGCAACCAGGGAAGGUCGGCUGACCAGAAGGGGCAGGGCCUGGCUCCCUUAUAAACCCUAGGGGCUGGGGCUAGAGGCAGUUCCCUGCCAGCUACCAAAGAGGAAGGAGCUCUCUGCCCUGGGAGAGAGGGGAAACCUGAUGCAGGGGCUGCAUCUGAGAGUUAAACGGUCACCGCUCCUGCAUGGACUGAGGAUCAGCCUUGUUUUGGAGAGGGUUAAUAUGAGCUGAGUUGCAAGGAACAAUAUAUAUUUCAAAAGCAGACGGCACCAUGGUCAAACAGAGCAAGGUGAACAGGCAGAUAGGCAGCCAUAGCUUUAAACAUCUGAGGAAGAGAGAAACAGUUAUAUCUCAGGACUCAGUGCUGCAAGAGCCUCUUUUAAGCACUGCUUUGGAGAUUUCUAAGAAGUUGAAAAAUGCAUGCAGUAUCCUAGCUAAGAGGGAUGAAUUGAGUUACUUGGUCAGCAGGAUUUUUUUGGCAUGUUACUGCUUCAUCCUUUCACUCUAGAUAUAUAGCAUCUUUCAUACAAAAGUAUUGCAAAAUGCUUCAUCACUAUUAAAAGUAAACCUGAAAAAUCUUUCAAAGAGAUAUAAUUAGUUUCCAAGCUUCUCUAAUGACCUGUUUUGUUGUUUUGUCAAUAGUAUUACAUUAUCUACCUUGUCUACUUAUUCUCAAGGAUCAGUUUGUCUGCAAAUA
Molecule: long non-coding RNA, 706 nt
Organism: Alligator mississippiensis (American alligator)
Lineage: Eukaryota; Metazoa; Chordata; Crocodylia; Alligatoridae
Exons: 4
Source: RefSeq, a predicted model, not a curated record